GCCGGCCCGGCUCCGGAGAAAUGGCGCUUGAGAAAGGAGGGGAGGGGAAGGUUCCCGGACCCUGGGCAGGGACCCGUCGCCGGGGACCCGCGGAGCCCUCCGGGGAUGGAGGAGGCGCGAGCUGGAAGCGGCGCGCGAGCCCGAGCGCGGGGCUAACACCGUGGGGCCCAGUCUCUCCUGGCUCGGGUAAGUGGACGCGCCCCGAGGCCCCGGGUCCACGCAGGGCGCCCCUCGCAGACGGCGCAUUUCCUACUCUCCUAAGGAACCGAGUUCCCAUCACUGCCUCCGAUGAGCCUGUUUCCGGAUCAGGAACCUUUUUCAAGUUAAUUUUUAAAGCCUCAUUUGAAUUUUUUAAUAUAGGAAAAUACGUAUACGAGAAAAAUCUUGGAUGCAACAAAAAGAACACCGUGGCCACCCGUGGUGUCCCAGAAGUUGCUCUGAGCUCCUCGCAUCAGGGCAGAGGAACAUGGUGUGGGGAUCUGCAGACUUGCCUUCCACUGGGGAGAGGGCCAGCGAGGGGACAGAGGGGGAGGAAAGGAGAGGGGAUAAUAGACCCGAGGUCAGUGUUGAUGCUGGAGGGCCCAGGUCUCUGAAGUUCCUGCAGCUUUGCAGGUGAGCGGGCUGCAAGUGAGGCUAGGCCUGUGGACACCCAGUGGGGCCUGGAACAGUGCCAGGAGUGGCCUUGAACCCCACCUUGAUCCCUCUCCAGCAGGAUCUGGAGUCACUUCCAUGGGCCUGGCAUACACCACUCCAGAUUUGCCCUCUGGCCUGGGGAGCAGAUAACCCCCCGCCCCACAUAACCAGCUGCGCUCCUACACCUAGCAGGCCGGCUCACAUCACCCUUUAACGCACACUAUAUUCACACACACACUUGUGCACAGUCUUGAAUGUGUGCCCACACAUCUGCCUGCACACACUCAUGUGCCCACAUGUGAAUCACUUGGAAGUGUACACAAAACCAAACCCACAGCACAGAUGGGCAGACAGGUGAGCCUCGUGCAGCAUGUGACACUCCCACAUGCACAAGACAUGUGUGCAGAGGCAUAUCACACACGCAGAAGCACUCCCGAGAACUGCCUUCUCCCUUUCAGCCUAGGGGCCCCUGUUCCCCCACAACCGGGCCCAGCCCUGGAGCCCCCUCCAGCACUCCUCUCCCACCCCCACGCUCCCCAAGAGCAGCAGAUGUAGGUCUCCCGGCUCCCAAACCUCUGAGAUGCUGCUCUGUCUGAAAUCAUCAUAUAAAUAAUCAUUUUUUAAUACAAGGGGGUGGGGGUGUCAGGCAAGUUCCAUGAAAUUGUGAAUUAGCCGCUGCUCCAAAUAAAUGCCUGCUUCGGCCCGAGAGCAGCCGCGCUGCGCCCGCUGCGCCCCCAAUAAUCGUGUGUUGGGUAUCUCUCCAUUGUUCCCUGGGCCAUUAGUCAAAGGGCAAAUUAGAAACAAUUUCUUGACGACAAAAAUUGACUCUUAAUUCUUCCCACCAGAGGCGCAGGGGGACAAGUCCAGAGGCCAGGCCUGAGGCUGGGGCUGGCGGCAGGAGGGGUAGGCGGGGUAGAGGUGGGGUAGAGGUGGGGGAUCUAAGAUGGUUCACAGCACAGAGACCUCCCUCAACUGGAGGGCAGCAGCAGCUCACCCCCACCCCAGAAUCAGUGUUCCAGAGGACAGCUGGGGGCAGGGGGUUAGGAACAAUCCCACUCCCUCCUGGAAGAGGUCCUGACCCCCCACCCCACCCAUCUGCCUGUACGGGUCCCUCUGCUAUCGACUGGGGCGAGUUCUUUUCAUGAGGGCCUUGCCUGGUGCCUGGAGGGAACAGGGUGUGGGGGAAAGGUCUGUGUGUUCCCCCCUCACCUCCCCUGCUCAGCGGUGUGGCCUCUGGCUCUGGGGAGGAUCGGGAAGCCCCAGGGUCCGUGCCUUGGAGUGGGGGGACAGCCUUUUCUCUGCCACAGCUUCUGCCUUUGGAGGCUUACCCUUCCUAGGAGCAGAACUGUUGUGGAGGGGAAGAGGACGGCGAAGGUUCCGAAGGGAAGGGGGCUGCCCCCACUGAAAACGAAGCUUCCAGUCACAGCCCCUUCAUUAUUUAUCAGGACCCAGGGGAUGAGGUGGCAGGGGAGGGGGCUGCAUGGAGGGAGUGCCCUCACCCUCGUCCCCAGCGCCUGCCCCCUCCCGACCAGGCCUGGGCUGAGGCCCAGGGUAAGGGGGCUGAGGCAGGCCACAGAGGAGCAAGACUUGUCAGGGGCCAGACCUGGGUAGGAGGAUUGUCCUCCAGGCACACACGGCCCCCAGCCCCCCAGCCUGUCGAACUGGGCUCUCCCAGAAGGUCCCCGGCUCCAGCCCAAGCAGGGAGCCAGGUUGGGGGUGUGGGAAGGCAGAAGUCCCAGGGAUCCUGGGGGAGGCUCAGGUUGUACCUGAAGGCCACAGUCUCCUCGACAGACCUCGGACGAGGUUGUAAGUGUUUUAAAGAAACUAGAGCAGCAGAGAAGAGAGACUCAGAAGCCCGUGGCACGGCUUUCUCGGCGUCCCCUCCAGCGAGGGGGUCUCCAUUGCUGCAGUUGCCGGUUUUGUCCAACCAGGAGGUUGACCCGAAACAGCCCUCCGUCUUCCUGCCCAUGAGGAUGAGGACAGGAAGCCAGACCCGGGAGAGAAAGCCCAGAUCAGACAGAUGGGGGUUGGGAGGGCCUAGUGGCUGAAACUGCCCUGCUUGGGGACAAUGCUCAGGCAGGACCAAUCCAAACGAGGGCACUGCUUAUGUGGUCCUUCCGGAGCAUCCUCCAAGGCAGAGCCUGGCUUCGGGCCCUCCCUGCAAGGACACCUGCCUCCACUCCCUGCCAG
RNAcentral lists this long non-coding RNA (2823 nucleotides) under Homo sapiens (human). Its description in RNAcentral is "non-protein coding lnc-TMEM105-2:31". Lineage: Eukaryota; Metazoa; Chordata; Mammalia; Primates; Hominidae. The record is from RNAcentral.